Molecule: ribosomal RNA, 421 nt
Filed under: uncultured archaeon
Lineage: Archaea
Description: partial 16S ribosomal RNA
Rfam family: Archaeal small subunit ribosomal RNA
Source: RNAcentral
CUACGGGGCGCUGCAGCUAGGAAUAAUCUGCAAUGCGCGAAAGCGUGACAGUUUGAGCCAGAGUGCUUCUCACUUGAGAAGCUUUUGCCAAAUGUAAAAAGUUUGGCGAAUAAGGACUGGGUAAGACGAGUGCCAGCCGCCGCGGUAAUACUCGCGGUCCAAGUCGCAGCCAUCUUUAUUGGGGCUAAAACAUCCGUAGCUUGUUAGAUAAGUUCCUUGUGAAAUCUUAUCUCUUAAGGAUAAGGCGUGCAAGGAAUACUGUCUAGCUAGAGACCGGUAGACGCAGGAAGUACGUUCGAAGUAGCGGUAAAAUGUGUUGAUCUCGGACGGACUCACAACAGCGAAGGCAUCCUGCGAGAACGGUUCUGACUGUCAGGGAUGAAGGCUAGGGGCGCAAAACGGAUUAGAUACCCGUGUAGUC